This 67-nucleotide transfer RNA is filed under the name Marmota monax (woodchuck). RNAcentral describes it as "tRNA.Ala". The record is from RNAcentral. Lineage: Eukaryota; Metazoa; Chordata; Mammalia; Rodentia; Sciuridae.
GGUUGUGGCUCAGGGGUAGAGCACUUUCCUAGCAUGCAUGAGACACUGGGUUCAAUUCCUGGCACCA